This 3446-nucleotide long non-coding RNA is filed under the name Canis lupus familiaris (dog). RNAcentral describes it as "lncRNA (ENSCAFG00000055852.1, ENSCAFG00845012467.1)". The record is from RNAcentral. Lineage: Eukaryota; Metazoa; Chordata; Mammalia; Carnivora; Canidae.
UUUUUUUUUUUUUUUUUUUUUUGAGUAGAAGGACAGCAUGGUAAAAGUCACAUUUUAGGAAUAGAAGUUGGCAACAGUAUGCAAAAUGGAUAGUGUAGGAGGCCAGAAAGUUGGUCAAGAGGAGGCUGGCAAGAGUUAGGCAAGAAGAGAUGAGGUUUGCUCUAAGGUGGACUGGCCACUGAACACAGCCACCAGGUCUGCCACAGUUCUCAGACCUGGUACUCUGCCUUGUGCCACCCUGCCGAGCACUUCCCUAUGUGCCCCCUCCCCCGACCCCCUCUAGCUUUGUGGCAGCUGCUCAUGUUAUAUCCACCUAACACAGGAGACAGAGUCACACAGCUGACUGCCGAACAGUACAGACAAGAGUCAAGCCUAGAUACGUCUAACCCCAAAGUGAAGGCCACUAACUAACCUUCUCUAAAUGGCCCACAGCACGCUGAGCCUUCAGAACAGAAACACUGAUGGGGAGGAAGAAAACAGGAGCCCUCAGCCCUGGAAUACUCUUGCAAGUGUGUUUUAAGAAAGUCUUAAACCUACCGGAAAUACUGUGGUGAGUGAUAAAAUGCUUAGAGGAGAAAGAUGAUGUUCAAGUGUCAAGGAAAUUAAGAAGGUCAAGAAUAGAGUGAACUCUGAAAGGGAAGCUUCUGGAUGAGUGAAAGAAGCUUCUAUUGCACAGCAGGCAGCAGAGCUUUUGAUCUUCAAUAUUUGCAGGAAUGAAUCAGGCUAAACAUGGAAAAAUGGCCACAAAGGGUUUGGACAUAAUAAUGGAUGUUUGUAACUGAUUUUUCUUUUUCUUUUUCUUUUUUCUUUUUUUGUAACUGAUUUUUCAAAACAAACUACAUAUAUGUGGGAGAGAGUUACUUAACUUUCUGAAGUGACACAAGGGAGAGCCAGCCCAUGAUCUCGGCUGGCCUCAAUAAGACAGUCUCAGAUAGAAAGGAGAACAGUAGCCACAGCAUACUCUGUACCAGGCACUGUACUGGCAUCAUCUCAUUCGGUCCUCACGACAGUCAUUUGAGGAAGAAAUUAUUAUCUCCACUCUUUAGAUAAGGAAACUGAGGCAAAGAGAGUUUAGGUAACUUCCACAGGGUCACACAGCUCCAGUACUAGUAAUGCUGGGAUUCCAGCGUAUGUCAAUAGGCUCCAGAAUCAAUGCUCUCUCCCUUAUAGACACUGCCUCCAAAGCGGAUUGACCAUUGAAUUCACUCAGAGGAGGCUUCCAAAUGCUUUUGUGUUCUGGAAUCUUCUCCAAUGACAUAAACUAGGUUCAUACUACUGAAGCAACAAGACCACCUCUCUCUGCCGAGAGGGUACUUAAGCCUCUCAGUCACGGCCCAGCUUCUCUCUGGUUCUAGUUCUUGAAAUCAGCAGUGGGGAGGGUGACCACACUGGGUGGGCUGACCCCAUAAUAGAAGACUUAACACAUUUUGCUUCCCUGCCCACAUGCCUGCGCCGCCUCCUCCUCACAGCUAACCUCAGCACCACCCCCCAGCAAUCUGGAUAGUCCCCGUGCCAUUUGAGAGAACAUUCUUAGUUGUUCACAGUCUCUGGUGUUCACAUAAAGCCAAAGUUAAUGCUCUGGAGUGUUUCCAUCAUCCUGUGACAAAUCUGGACUGGGUAUCAGUAUCGGUCCAAAGGACAUAGCGUCAGGAGGAGGCAGGAGAGAAAGAGCAAAAUAUGGAAGAUGCAUGCAGAUUUAUAAGUACCAUGCAGGAAAAAAAAAAGAAGAAGAAGAAGAAGAAGAAGACCAUUUAAGUAAAUUAAAAAGCAGUAGCAGUGUUCAAAAUAUCAGUGGUGAGCGGACCACAGAUAAUGGGGCUGGAGUCAUCCAAGGUGCCUUUGGAGUUGGCAAAGUGGCCAAGGAGCACAUGGGUUAGAGCACCAGCCUCAGAGCAUGCCCACUGGAGUCUGAGUCCCUGCUUCACCAUUCACCAGUUGCAGAAUCCUGGGCAAGUUGUUAAACCUCUGGGAACCUCCGUUUCCUCUUCUUUAUAAUGAGGGUGAUAAUAAUUGAAAAAGUAAAACAUGGCCUCAGCAGCCAUUAGCUAGGCUGUGAUGGUCCAGUCCUCGGAUAUGAGGGGCCCCAGGCAAAUAUUUUCUGUGGGGCCCUGAAUAUAUAAACAAUUUGAGUGGAACCUUUAAAAAAAGUCAACCUCAGGAGCAGAGUAUUCAAAGUGGUUGCCAGGGGCUCAGGGUGGGGGAGAUAGGGGGGUUAAUAAAAGGGGAAAACUUUCAGCUAUAAGAUAAAUAGGGUCUGAAGACAUAAGCUAUAAUAUGGUGACUGUAGUAGAUAACACUGUAUUGUAUCAUCGACAUUUGCUGAGAGAGUAGAACUUAAAUGUUUCCACCAAACAAAAAAAAGAUGCAUGUGUCAGGUGAUGGAUGUGUUAACUAAUUAGAUGGAGGGAGAUGUUUUGACAACGUACACAUAUAUCAAAUUAUCACAACAUAUACUUUAUUUUUUUAAGAUUUUAUUUAUUUAUUUGACAGAGAGAGAGAGAGCACAAGCAGGGGGGAAUGGCAGGCGGAAGGAGAAGGAGGAGCAGGCUCCCCACUGAGCAGGGAGCCUGACUCGGGGCUCGAUCCCAGGACCCCGGGAUCAUGACCUGAGUCGAAGGCAGACGCUUAACCGACUGAGCCCCCCAGGCGCCCCAUAACAUACACUUUAAAUGUCUUACGAUUUUGUCAGUAAUACCUCAAUAGAGCUGAAAAGAAUUCUUUAAAAAAAGUGCACUAAGAAAUAAAACACUAAAAAUAAACAAACAAACAAACACAAAAACCAGUUUGAAUCAGUCUAGAUCUGCGCACCAGCACCCUGCAGCUCAGUCUCACACAGUUCUGCCAAAGGAACCCUGUGCCGGUAGUGGGAGUAAGUUGCUUGCCAGGAUGCCCUCCUGGAACAGGUGCCCAGACCGGGCCACAGAUGACCACGUGGGCAUGAGUCCUCGAGCUCCUCAGGGCAGCAGGGAGACUCCGUGGUUAGGGUAGAGAUUCAGAGAGUGCUCUGAAGGGGAGACACAGGACUUGGAGCCCACAUGAGCUCCAGUCCAGGCUCAGGGUGCCCCUGCAUGAUGGCACUGUCAGCCCUGGCCAGUUUCAGGCACUGGGGAGGGCUUUGAAAAUCCCAGGCAAGCUGCUCUAAUGUGAGGGGCCCUCAGAGACACCAGGGCGUCUAGAUAGCACUGGCUGCGAUGUUCCUAAAGGAACAUAAACAUCACUCAUGGAAUUAAAACAAUAAUCAGAGACGUUCACCCUAUAACUGUGUUGGAACAAGCCAGCCCCAAAGCUAGUCACAACUAUGUAUGAUCCAAAACAGAGAGAAGGACAUUCAGCAACCACAGAUAUAAGUCAUGUGCCCCUCUUCGGACUACUUUGUGUGACUACUGCUUCUCUAUGAUGGCAGCUCUAUCUACUUUAAUCCUUCAUGCCCCCAGGGGAAAAAAAAA